RNAcentral lists this unclassified non-coding RNA (668 nucleotides) under Hevea brasiliensis (rubber tree). Lineage: Eukaryota; Viridiplantae; Streptophyta; Magnoliopsida; Malpighiales; Euphorbiaceae. The record is from RNAcentral.
AUCCGAUUUAAAUUUACAAGGAAUCCUCAACUGCUCAGAGACAUCUAAAUCUGCCUCUGCAAGUUGUGAUUCUCAAUUCCCUUAAAAAAAAAUCUGAUUCUGAACAAUUUUUGCCCAGAUUUAAUUCUCCAUGCUGGUAGAUAAUCUUGUCUAUUUAUCAUCUUCUUAUGUAAUAACGGUCACUGCAGCUGCUAUUAUAUAAUAUGUGAGAAGAAAAUACAUGCAUGGAUUCAGAUUGUAUUUAAUAAUCUUAAUUAACCCUCUCCAACUGUUUCUAUAAAAUAAGGGUGUGCAGGAGAGCAUGCAUGUGGUUGGGAGUUAUUACAGCCUGAAAUCUUCAGGCCUAACUUCAAUGUUUGUUUUCUGAGAAAAUAAGUGAAAAUAGAGAAGAAACGAAGGGUACUUUUUUAUGGUACAUUAAUUAGAAAUUCAAAUUUCUUAAAAACUGAACUUUUUAAUUAUUAUGCACUAAGUGCUAACAAUUGUUUCUAACAGGAUUCUUGGAUAAUAUUCAUUCUGUUUAAUUCCAUCCAAUGAUGAGAAAAUUAUAAUUAAUAAAAUUUUAUUGUGGUGAAGGGUGCUGCCAAUUCUUUCUGUUUUAGUGAUUUGAGCAAAUUUCCUCAUCUUGUUUUGAUUUUUUGGCCACAGAUUUUGAUCAAUCUAUUGGA